RNAcentral lists this ribosomal RNA (301 nucleotides) under uncultured bacterium. RNAcentral's name for it is "partial 16S ribosomal RNA". It matches the Rfam family "Bacterial small subunit ribosomal RNA", at positions 509 to 807 of the family's 1533-position model. The record is from RNAcentral.
CAGUAGCCGCGGGAAUACGAAGGGGGCUAGCGUUGCUCGGAAUUACUGGGCGUAAGGGGAGCGUAGGCGGGUCGUUUAGUCAGAGGUGAAAUCCCGGGGCUCAACCUCGGAACUGCCUUUGAUACUGGCGACCUUGAGUAUGGGAGAGGUGAGUGGAACUCCGAGUGUAGAGGUGAAAUUCGUAGAUAUUCGGAAGAACACCAGUGGCGAAAGCGACUCACUGGCCCAUUACUGACGCUGAGGCUCGAAAGCGUGGGGAGCAAACAGGAUUAGAUACCCCAGUAGUCCCUGUCUCUUAUAC